Molecule: ribosomal RNA, 434 nt
Filed under: uncultured Oscillospiraceae bacterium
Lineage: Bacteria; Bacillati; Bacillota; Clostridia; Eubacteriales; Oscillospiraceae
Description: partial 16S ribosomal RNA
Rfam family: Bacterial small subunit ribosomal RNA
Source: RNAcentral
ACGGGAGGCAGCAGUGGGGAAUAUUGGGCAAUGGGGGCAACCCUGACCCAGCAACGCCGCGUGAAGGAAGAAGGCUUUCGGGUUGUAAACUUCUUUUAUCAGGGACGAUAGUGACGGUACCUGAUGAAUAAGCCACGGCUAACUACGUGCCAGCAGCCGCGGUAAUACGUAGGUGGCAAGCGUUAUCCGGAUUUACUGGGUGUAAAGGGCGCGUAGGCGGGGAAGCAAGUCAGAUGUGAAAUCUAUGGGCUUAACUCAUAAACUGCAUUUGAAACUGUUUCCCUUGAGUGCUGGAGAGGUAGAUGGAAUUCCUAGUGUAGCGGUGAAAUGCGUAGAUAUUAGGAAGAACACCAGUGGCGAAGGCGAUCUACUGGACAGUAACUGACGCUGAGGCGCGAAAGCGUGGGGAGCAAACAGGAUUAGAUACCCUGGUA